GGCGGCUACGGCAACUCCGAUGGGAACUGGAGGAGCUGAGCGGUGGGGCCCGCGUGGCCAAGUUAUCUUGUCGCUACUACUGUUACCAGAGUUAUCCCUAUGUGUCGUCCUAGUGUCUUCGUCGUCGUCUCCGACCUGUGUUGGUCUUCUGUUUCCUGUUGUUGCCCAUCUGUGUUUUUGAUCGCAAGCUUGUUCGUCGUGUCUGUCGUCAGAGCUAUCCUCAUCUCCAAACAUCCCAUGAACCGGGUGUUGGGAUUGGGAUGCUGUUAUCCUCGUGAAACUUUGUUACCAUCCGUUUUUAAGUUAAUCAGAUGAAAAAAAAAUGGUGCUGCUUGGUGCUGCAAAUGGAGUUCGUUGCUUCUGAGUGUUGUGGAUGAUAAUUCUAAUUUGUAAAAAGUAAACAGCACUGAGAUAAAAGUUGCAGUGCUUUAGCGAGCAGAUCAGGGAAAAAGUUGCACAAAUCUGGGGGAAAAGUGAUUUGUGCUAAUCAUGACAAAGAUCCUCACGUAUGGUGCUAAUCCAUGAAUUCCACUAGCCUCCAGAUGCCAUCACAGAUACAGAAUCCAACUUGGACUAUUUUUUCAUGACGAAAACAAGUAACAGUAAGUUGCAGAGAUUUGUUGGAUUUUUCAGUCACGUUUGCAUCGAGUCUCAGCCCAACAAUCCUCAACUCGAAACUCCCAUCCCAUCGAGAUUCCACCAGGAAGAUUGAAUCUAGCUGCAGUGUCUUCAGUCGAGGACGUAGAUGCGCGAGGCGACGUCUUGAACGAGCCAGUCGAAGCCCUGAAGCAGCCCGUCGCCGGUGAAGGCGCUGCAGCCGACGAUCUGCCAGUGACGGCUCUUCUCCAUGGCCGCCAGAUCCAGGACCUGAAAAACCAAAACCACACCAACCAAAUCACAACAGGAUUCCAACGAUCGCAAUUCGUACGUGCAAGGUUGCAGCAGGAACACUGCUAACUGUGCUAUAAUAAGCUGUCUAUACUAGUAAUAGCUUGUCUGAUCUCGAUGUCGAAAUAUGGUGGCUCAACGCUCAACUAAAUUAUUGUCUGAUUUGAGAAUCUUAGCAAGGCGCUGUUCGAGUGAACGAUUAUAAAUUCUAGAUGCACACAAGUAGAUACUAAAAAAUAUGAACUUGACAAACACCGCCAGAAGACCCGAGUACCUUGGCGAUUUCUGCUGGUUUCAGGGCACCCUGAAUGUCCUGCUUGUUUGCAAACACCAACAACGAAGCUCCGGCUAGUCUCUGCAAUCAAGAUUACGGCACACAAGACAAGCGCGAUUAAGAGUCAUUGAUGGUGAACAGUAAGUCAAUGAACAUCGCAUCAUUUUCAGGCGACUUUAGACUUCUGAGCCAACAAAAGUGAUCAGCGUGAAGCUAACUGUUAGCAUCGCUGACUAGAUGAUGCACCUCUUCUUUCAGUAGAUUGUGGAGCUCUGCUCGACAGUCAUCAAGCCUCCGGAUGUCAGAGCUGUCAACCACCCAAACCAGGCCGUCAGUCUGCUCGAAGUAAUUCCUCCAGUAUGAGCGGAUCGUCUUCUGUCCCCCAACAUCCCAAAUGUUCAAGGAGUACCUGCGACAAUCACCAUUUCGUCAAUCUGCAGCAAUUUGUGACAAAUCAUUGCUGUACCCAUGACAUUUCUCAUCACCAAUUCACUAUGAGUUCCAAGAAGCAGUUGAAAUUUUGGCAAAUAUAUCUAGUUUUCACCUAUAUGACCUAACAACAGCAGACUGCUUAGGACAGUACUGAAUGCAGAACUCAAGUACAUCAGGAGAUGCAUUCAGUUUCUGCUGUCAAUACUGCACUAUACUGUAUCUGAAAUUCACAAAUAGCCAGGUCUGCUGAGAGGGGGCCGACCUGGUUCUGUACAUUUUCCUAUUCCUAGCUAGGUUGUGUUUGGUUCCUGGUAUGAACUAUUCAUGUAGCAAACGGUCCUGAUCCUGACACAACUGUCGUGUUAUUGAUUGGAUCGAACCAAUCAUUCCUGGAUGGGCUCGUUCAGAUUCCGGGCAUAUUCCUUUAAGAUGCACUCCUGCAAUUUCUUUUCAGGAAAAAGGGAUCUAAAAUUAAAAAUUGCGCGUUUGACUCCCAUAAGACCAGAACUGAAGACAGCGCUGCUUCCAUCGGAGCUUGCUGCAUUAGCUUGCGUAUGCUGACAUUGAUGCCAAAAUACAGUUCAAAAUGGCUUUCAGUCUUGGUAAACAAGCAUUAACAUAAGAACCACCAAACAAAUAUUAUAUCUAUGCCACUGCUGGAGAGGUAAUGUAGCUGGAUAACCUUCACCGUUAGCUAACAAUUACUGUUUGGCUAGGCACAGCCACAGGGGCUUAUAUUUUUCUACCUAUGGCUGUUAACAUUAUGACUGCCUCAUCAAUAAUUUAAAAGUCACAUGUUUGCAUUGUAAAAGGGUCAUGUAAAGUUUAUCUUUGGUGAAUACUAAGGCUAGAAAGUCCUGAAGGAUAGGAAAAGGUGCAGAGUAGGCACACUUCCAACAGUUCAGGAAAAUGAUCUAACAUAGAGUCAUCCUAAAAAAAAUGCUCUAGCAAUUUCAUUACAAUCGACUCAAAAUUGGAUGCUCUAUGCAGUAGUGGAACUUCAACAAAUUUCUAGAGGAUACUUAACUGCUUAAUUCUGUGCUUUUUAUUGUAAGCAAAUAGGGAUACUUAGCUUAUUAGCAAAUUGUAUAACCAGGAGGGGCCAUGGCCCCCCUUUGGCCAUCAAGAAGCUCCACCCAUGGCUCUAUGGUUGAUACUAGCAUUGCAUGUGUGGGGCUUCUAAUGUUACUGAAUUCUUCAGAAUACUUUAAAUACAAACAGUGAUUUCCUUGUAUAGCAUAUCAUUACAAUCAUCUAAGCAACUAAAUAGUUAUCCAAAGCUAAUUAUACAACAAAAGGAAUACAUACUUUUGAUACUUGAUGGUCUUGAUGUUGAAGCCAAGGGUGGGGCUGAUUACACUGGUGUCCUCCCCAUUGAUCUUCAGCACAAUCGUUGUCUUACCUGAAUUGUCCAGCCCCCUGAAAUUAUCACAUCAUUGACCCACCGAAAAGCAGAAAGAAUCAUGAACGUGAGCCAAGGACUCGAUAAUGGGAAUCCUUCAACGCAUAAAGCAAACAGAGACUGCAUCUAAACCCAAGAAUAAACAGCAGCAUGUAUUUGCUGGGACCAUGGGAGAAAUAAAAGGGGUUGGAAUCAGAGGAAAAUGCUUACACCAUGAGAAUCCGCAUCUCCUUUUCCUUGCGUUUGAUCUUUCUGAUGAUGCUAAGGAGACCCAUCUUGGAGGGGCGGCCCAGGAGAUGAGUCAAGAGGCAAGGAAGAUAAAGAGAGAGGCUGAAAGAGUACUGAAUUCUUCAAUGCAGUAGAGCCAGUCUUUGUUUGUGAUGUCGCUCAGGUUACUAUCAGCAGGUAUUCAAGCAUCAUCCCCCUAUGGUUCGAUUGAACACAGCUGCGCAAUGUCACAAACAGAAACAACGUUACAACAGUUCAGCUUGCCUCUAAAUUACACAGAAAGAGCAGUAUUCCUCUGCUGGGAACAAAUCUCAAAUCUUGUUAAACCAGUUUUACAAGACACGUAAGUUGGCACGGAAUUUUCACAUCGGUAAUUUUUUUUAUACACUUUGUCUCACACGAAAUGGCCACUCUUGUAAUAAAACUCGAAGGUAGCAGCUUCAUUCUCAAACUACAGGAACCGCAAGAGCACCCUUCAGAGUGCUGCAAUCGACCGAACAUAAUUCCUACCAGGCGUCCAGGCACAACUUUGUUUCGAAUCACCCCCAAAACCCAAAGGAGUGAACAAAGCAUAGGAAAACAUCCAUUCAACUAGCGCAAGAAGGUGAGUCAACGUUGAGCCAUCGAAGAAAGAAUUUCUUAGUUUUUUUUGGCGCACCUAUUCUAGAAGCGAGGAGGAGGAGGCGGUCGUCCCCGCUCGGCGACGUCGCCCUAGCCCCGGAGUAAGAAGUCGUGGGAUCGAGAUCGGGGUGGCGCGGUCUCCGGGCUCUGGCAGGCGAACCGUCGUCCUGCUCGCGGGCGGCCGUCGCCGGCGAGAUGCAGCUUGUGCCCAAAUGUGGAGGAGGACGGCGACCGACGAUGGUUGGCGGUGGGCUAGCUAGUUGAGAGUUGGUUUUGAUGGGCCGAAUGCAGUGUUUUCGUUCUUGUUUGGGCCUGGCCCCCGCUUCCUUUUCGAGGGGAAAAUCCCACGCUCGUCUUGCAACGCCCAGUUUGGAUACGGGUCUCAAGUCUGCCAUUCGAAAUGUUGAAUCUAGCAUUUAAAAUGUUGUAACGUACUAUUUCAACAUUAUUGUAUAAAAAGUUGAACUAGUUCAUUCAAAAUGUUGAACUAAAUUUUAAAAAAUGUUGAAUAUAGUAUUUAAAAUAUUGAACAUACCAUUUCAACAUUACCGUAUAGAAUGUCAAACUAGUUCAUUUGAAAUGUAAACUAGAUUUAGAAAAUGUUCAAUCUAGUAUUUAAAAUGUUGGACAUACUAUUUCAACAUUACUGUAAAAAAAAUGAACUUGUUCAUUCGAAAAUGUUAAACUAGAUUUAAAAAUGUUGAAUUUAGCAUUUAAAAUGUUGAACAUACUAUUUGAACAUUACCGUAUAAAAUAUUGAGCUAGUUAGUUCGAAAAUGUUGAUCUGGGUCUAAAAGUGCUGAAUCUAGUAUUUAAAAUAUAAACUAAUUUACAUUUUUCUCACGAGGUCGCGGGAAAAAUACAAAGAAAAAGUUACUAAGAUGGUCACAUCCUACUUAUGCGUUGGGUACUGCACGGGUCCCAGCGAUCCAGCACUCCACAUAGUACCUACUUACUACUGUCACUGUGCUAAAAAAAAUACUGUCACUGCACGAGGUAAAGGGGUGUUUGGAUACGAGGUGCUAAACUUUAAUAGAGUCACAUCAAAUAUUUGGAUGCUAAUUAGGAGGACUAAACAUGACCUAAUUACAAAACUAAUUACACAGAUGGAGUCUAAUUCGCGAGACAAAUCUAUUAAGCCUAAUUAGUCCAUGAUUUGAUAAUGUGGUGCUACAGUAACCGUUUACUAAUGAUGGAUUAAUUAGCCUUAAUGUAUUCGUCUUGUGAAUUAAACUCCAUCUGUGCAAUUAGUUUGUAAUUAGACUAUAUUUAAUACUCCUAAUUAGUAUCAAAUAUCCGAUGUAAUAGGUACUAAAGUUUAGUAGGAGGUGUGUAUAUAUAUAUAUAUUUAUAGAGCAAGCAGCUACCGUGCUCCCCACAAAAUUAUAUUACAUGAGACUGUACGCCUGGGUAUGGCAGGCAGGGCACACCAUAUAACUAUCUUAUCUCUGCAGAGUGCAGGUACGGUGGUAUAACUACUGGUAAUCUAUACAGAAGCAGUGCAGGUACGAACUGUACGUGCAUCAGUUUCCGUACUGGGGAAUCACGCGGCCAUGGCCAUGUCCUCAUGUACCCCACAACGCAAGCAGGACGAUCGAGAAGGCACGCAGCAGCCAGAUUAUUAACAAAUCCUUCCCAAUGCAAUGCAAGUUCCCAACUAAUCAAAAUUCAUUCUUGUUGUUGCUGCUGAAAUUUAAAAUCUCAAGACAUGCACGUACGAUCGAUCCAAAUAUACUCUUGACGAUCCAAAUAUUCGUGUCGUGUAGUUGAAAAAUUAAAUCAAACCAAAUCCCUUUUUUCUUAAACUUUAAAGAAAACCAGCGCGAUAUCGUCCGGUGAUCUCGUGAUCCCUAUACUAGCUUAGCUUGGUUACUGAUCGGGUCCCUCUAAUAAACAACAGAAAUGUGGAACAGAAUCGCAGGGAUCGCUCCAUCAAACAACUCCAAAUCCACAGUCCAUUUAUGUAUAUCUCUCCAUCAUAAUAAAAGAAAUAAUCCACGACCACUACCAGUUGUUGCCAAUGCCACCUUUUCUUUAUUUUUAAAUCUCUCUCGGAUACUAUGUGUAAUCUUCUCUCGUACCGUACGUGUGAUGUGUAUAUGAUGCAGCGGAUCAUGGAGAUGUUUUUUCUUUGGUUGUUAGCACUGCUGCGUGCUGCUAGAUUUCUUUACAACUGUUAAAUAAGUAAAAUAUUUAUCCAAGAUCAGCCACACAAGAUAAUAUAUAUUAAUGUACUAACUCCUACCACCUACUUUAAUUGUUUAUUCAGAGGGUUAUUCCUUAUCAAGAUCGUUAAAUAUACCAACACCGCAGGAUUGUUUCGCACACACGUGCUAUAUUUCCUUCAUGUGUAACUAGUUAAUUGUGAAAUCUUAUCCUUACUGCAAGCUAACUCAUAUAUUAUUCCCUUCAAAAAAGGAAAAGAAAAGAAAAGAAAGGUAUUAUCCAGAUAAGUAUAUAUGUUUAUUUCUAUCAUUAUCCAGAUAAGAUAUAGAUGUGCCAAAAGACUAAUAAUGUAACAAUGCUCCUAGCUAUGUAUUAUUGUGAUCUUCAGAAGAUAAUGUUGUAUUGUCCAAUCAAUAUAAUAGGCUCCUUAAUUAGAACGUUGAAGAUCGAGAAGAUUUAGAAAAUCAUGCGUGGGCUUAAUUAAUUACUUGGUUGUGAUUUAGUUUAUUUAUUUGCUGUGGAUAUACAGGAACUACAUAUAACUUUUGCAAAAUUCAACUAGUGAUCAUCAGAAAGUAUAUAUAGUAGUUCCAAUGCAUAAGGUGACAACUUGUACUUUACUCUUACAACUACGUGCCAACCAAUGCAUAAUCAACUCCAGAUGGUAUUUUUAAUCACAGCCAUGUCCCGAGAUUAUUGGCUCGAGGUCUACGCGCCCACCAUGGAUCCUGCAGCAUCCUGUUCCUGAUUGGAACCAACAGUUUUUUGGAUUUAAGUAUAACAACAAAAUUAAUCUUGCAUGAUGACAGUAGCUUCGUCUCUACUUUAAGGGAUUCUCCAUGAUUCGCUGACGAUCGAUUACAUAUACCAUACUCCUAUAUACAUGCAUGCCUUGUUAAUCCAUCGAUUGACACCUUUUCGAUCAGCAAUGGAGGAUCACACAAUUGUUGAAGAUUAUUCGAGAAGAUAUAAUAAUCGACAUAAUCUUGAUCUCGUUUUCAACAGUAUAUGAGAGCUAAUUUAAUUAAUUUCUGCUGUGAAAUGGAUAGGUAUAAUUACCUGCUCUUGCAUGCAAUCUUUUGGCUAGCUAAUACAUUUUCUUACAUGACAGCGGACAUUGUUGUUAUUUUAAAAAUAACCGCUAGCUCUGAUUGAAUCGCCAGCUGAACAUGUUGGCUGACAGUGUUGCAUUGACUGGAGAUAGUGUUGGCUGCAGCUGCUUUCGUUCGUGGGCCCGGCUUCAAUUGCCAUGCCACGUGGGCUUGUCUCGCACAGGCGCACAUGUGUACCUCUCUCUCGAUCAGCUAACAGUACAUUGCAGAACGUCGAGAUCGACCUGUGUUGUUGAUGCUGAUGCUUUAUUUUAAUUUCAUUUCACUGUGCUCAAUUAGCCUUGCUGUCUUGUUAGCCUUGUUAAUUUCAUUUCAGUAUAUGCAGACACACACAAAAGCCGAAACAGCUAGCCAAUUGAAUUGUCACCAACUGAACGUGCUAAAGAUCUGUGUGCCUGUAUACACAGACACGCUCCAUCUACGUGUCUGUGUGCCACAAAGCAUUUUUUUUUUUGAAAGACAAGAAAAACACUAAAGCACGGAUAGGCUUCACAUCAGUACGUGUCGCAGCGUGUGAUCUUUUCGGUCCCGGCCUAGCUCUACGUGCCAAACUAUAAGCUGCUUUAUUUUCAGCACGCGCGUAUAAAUUCUUUAUCUUUUUUAACAGCCGCAAUUUGUACAACGUUUCCAUAAGCACGCAUGCUAAUGUAUAUAAGCACGUGAUCGAUUACUUUGCAUGCCACCACCCACUUGCCUCGAUGAAAUCGACUGAUCGAUUUUAUUGUCAACCUCUGUCCCACCGGCAACCGAUAGGCGUUUGAGUUUUUAUAUUUUUGCUGAGAUAGGUAUCCCAAGAUCGAGUACGUAUGUGUACAAGUAUUAUAUACCAUAUACAUCCGUACCAUACACGCCUGUGGUUUCGAUGCCCUAAUAUAUUGUGUAAAUAUUUAAAUAUUAAUUAUUAUGGAUAUAUAGGGUCGUCGAUAUGUGUAAUGGAAAACGUUUGGGGGAAAAUUAAAGCAGGCAGAGUAGAAGCUGAUGAGCCAAUUCAGGCAACAAAUUAAAAUUAAGGUGCCCUGAUCGAUCUCAUGCAUGCAGACGCGUAUCUCUAUAUAUGUGUUGUGGAGAUUUUCACGUAGGAUGAAAAUUAAAAUAUAUAGCAGAUGUCCCUUUUGUAUCAUCGUCACUGAUUAGUAAAGGUAAAGCGACCAAUCAGGGAUCAGGUCGCUUUCAUUUGUUUCCCGGCAAUUGAAUAACUUUUCCUUGGUGGGGGAAGAAGAGCACAAGAGUCAAGAUCCUCUGAUCUCCUCAUGUGUGUUUCACGUUUGUGUUCCUGUUGCUUCGUCUGCUAACCAACUACACUCUGCAAAAAGGAAAACAAGUCUUUGGAGAUGAACAACAACGGCUAGCUACACGUACCAUCCAUAUGACGGCACUUUAUUCGUGUCUGUUUUCAAUUUUUUCAAGACGAUGGGGCCACCUUUAAUCUCUUCGCCACUUAAUUAAGCUCUCUAUCGAUCUUCAAUUAUUUCGAUAUCGUCUCUGGGCUAACCCUUUUGCACGAAGCAUGUUACAUGCACUACUUCAAUAUAUACGAAUUGAGUUGAGCUUAUGUAGGAUUUCAUAUAUAUUCCUAUGGUAGCACUGAAAUUGCAGAUUCAGUAGUAUUAAUAGUACUUCCUCCAUUCCAAAUCCAAAUUGUACGUUGUUUUGGCCUUUAUUUUAAGGUUCAUAGUUUUAGCUAUUCACGUAUAUAUACAUUUAUAUCUAGAUAUAUAACAAAAUCUAAUAUUUAGAAAAGUCAAAAUGACCUAUGAUAUAAUUUAAAACAGAGGGAGUAAUUAAUAGAACUGAAAUUAAUUAUAUUGCUACUAGCUGGACGGUAGUACUUUGUUUCGCAGGGCUAGGUUCCAUCUGACUGAUGAGACGACAGGGCUAGCUGUUAUUGCGAGAACACAAUUAGCGAGGGCACUGGUGAGAUCAAGCAUGUACAUGGUGAGAUCACCAAGACAUGCAUGGGAUGUUUGCACUGUACUGCGCAUGCAGCAUGCUGGACCUGCGGACUGCAGAAGCUGGUCGAGCUGUCCAACAGCAUGUGGGCCCAACUCAAUAGUAACAACUUUGUUCAUUUUUAAGCUAAUUAGUUUGUCCCAAUAAACGUCAUAUAUGUUUUUUUUAAAAAAGGGUAGCAGUGCUGGUGUAUAUCCUGAUUGACAAACCACAUGACAUAAAAUUUUUGCAAGCACUUCCAAUUGAUAGGGCAUGCAUGGGGACAAUGUUGAUAUUAUAAAUGAUGACAAUCGUAUAUUGAUCCCUCCAUCAGAUCAACUUGUUCCUCGCCGUCGCCGAUCUUGUCAUAUAAUUAACAGAGAAAUACAUAAUAAAAAAAACACAUGCAUGCUUAAGUAAUAACUUUUAGUAGUUUAAAAAUUUCAGGGAGUCGUCCAACACAACUCAAAAAUGAAGAGUUCACUGCUCACAUUACGAAAAUAAAGCAUGUCAGAUGCACAGCUGAUCAAGUGCCUAGCUCCUUCAUAUAUAUGAAUGCAUCAUGCACAUGCUGCUAUAGUAUGAACCCUAGAAACGGUCACUGAGCCUCCACAAUUAACAAAGUACAAAGUACAAAUCACUAGCUCAAUAGAAAAACGUAACCGGCCUAGCUCCAGUUGACUUGGACCAUGCAUCCACACACACACACACACAAUGGUAACAUACGGCAGUAGAAUUGAAUAUGUGUGUUAUUACUUGUUUAUGCCGUGCAUCGAUCUCUAUAUAUAGCAAACGGCACGCGUCGCAGAGGUCGUGCACAAUCUUCAAUUUCACAUCUACAUGCAUCAUGCACGGUGUCGUGUCAGCCACCAGUACUAUAGUGGCUCAUACCCUCCUCAGCUGUUCAUCAGCACACAUGCAUAUAGUGAGUGAAAUUAUUGCUUCAACUCCAAUGCUUUAGUCGCAGCUAGCUAGCAGUGUCACGGAGGUCGGAACUUUAUCCAUUUUCUAAAAAAACCUCAAUGCUUUAAUUAUAUUAUUAGCUCCCGGCCCAGCCUCACGUACACGCAUAGCAUAUCAGCAAUUCAUCGGCAGCUAACUUUUCUUUUCUGUGACAGUAGUGUAAAUUAAUUAAAAGACAAGUAUAUAAACCCUAUACUAAUACUAGUAUAAUAUUGGGGAGGGUUAGGCCACGGUGCAACAGCGGCGAGGAAACUAAUAUUUUAUGUGAGGGCGAAAGUAAUCAUAGAGGAGGCGAGUGGGGACAUUGACAAGAAGGGAGGGCAUAUGUGUCCAGCAACCCACAGGGGGUCCUUAUAUCUACCAAACAGCACACUCCUGCUGCUUGUUGAGUCUUUUUCUCUGGAUGCUAGCUAGCUCCAAGAAGAUAGCUGCAGAUCGAGAGGCAUCACCAGCUUUUUCUCUCUUCCAUCUGCAGGUACUUGUUGGUUGGCCGGCAACCCAUGCAGCAUCCAUAUCUCUUCCUCAUCUCUUUGAUUCGAUCUCUUCUUCUUUGAGGAGUUAGCUUUCCGAUCUUAUUUGGCCAGCUUGUUCUUGAUUGCCUUUUGAUUUCUUUGGAUUAUUUGUUCUUCAAGUACUACUGCAUGUGGAUACUCAUGCAUGCUUGCUGACGGUCUGUUGUUGCAUGCCGAUCUGUCUGGGCACCUGAACCUGACCAGCAGUGACUGACUGACUGACUGACUGACUGAUUGAUUGAUUGGCCUUUGUCUUCAGAUUGAGAGCUCAGCUUAUUACCACUUAUUGCAGUAGUAGCAGCUUAAUUGAUUCAGUUUCAUUUGCCUUUUGGUUCUAAUUAUCAUCGUCUUCAUCCUUCUCUCAUCAUCAGACUCAGAUGCCCUCGAUUUUAAUCUUCUCCAUACAAAUAUCAUUUCUUGAUUUGCUCGUUGUUGACUGCAUCUUCAUGAUUUUUUGAUGAUUUCAAGAUCCUUUCUGAUUUGUUCACUCAGUCAUCAGGGACAGGAAUUAUGGAUCGACAUAUGGAAGAUUCGAGCACGUUCCUCCAGUGGGCAAUGAACCAGCUGCACCAUCAGCAGCCCUCCGCCGCCGCCGCAGCUUCUGCAUACCAGGACGGAGCUGGUGCCGGCGGCAGCGGCGCCGCCGGAAACAGUGAAGCUGUCUUCCCGUCGCUCCAGGCGCUCCGCAGCGGAGCCCCCCAGACCCAACCCCAGCCCGUGGCCGCCAGCGUCCGAGUCCGCGACCUGACGGUGCAGGUGGACCACCGGACCAACAGCUCCAGCUCCGGCGACAGCCCGGGCGGAGGCGCUGCCAUGGACCACGACGCGACCACCGGGUGGUCCCCCCACACCGCCCGCUCCAGGACCACCGGCCUUGGCGGCGGCAGCAACAGCAGGCCCAUGAGCUGGAACUUCAGCGCCGCGGCGGCGCAGCCAGCAGCGUGCGAGAGCGGCGGCGGCGUCGCGCUGCCGGACGCCGCUGUGGCCGCGAGGGCGGUGCAGCUGCCAUCGGCGGGGAGGAGAGGGGGCGGCAGCGCGGCGCCCGCUGCUGCUGCUGCUGCGGCGCCAUCGUCGUCGCCGGGUCCAGUGCAGGACCACAUCAUCGCGGAGCGGCGGCGGAGGGAGAAGAUCAACCAGCGGUUCAUCGAGCUCUCCACCGUCAUCCCCGAGCUCAAGAAGGUUACUAGCUCACCAUUUCUUUCUUUUCUUUUUUGAUGACUGAUUCAGCUAUCAGCUGCCAUGAGAUAGCUAGUUGUUGAUAUAAUCUUCUCCUUCUUGUUAUUUUCUUCUUCUCCUUGUUCUCGUCCUCCUACCUCUUUUGUCAUUUUUGUUCUUUAAUUUCAUGCUUGUUUUCAGCCAUCUCAUCAAGGGGUUAAUUUUCAGCUUUGACAUGGCUCUUGGUGAAUCUCACAUGUUGGAUCGGACCAAGAUUGCAUGUACAUCAUCCCAAUAAAAGUGCAUGUAUUUACCGGCACUGUUGUUGCCCAAUCAUUUACUGAUAUAGUACAAAGAAAAGCGAGCUAGCACCUAGCAGAUUAGGUUCUUAGCAGCAAAAGUGCAAGCAUGGAGCGCAUAUAUUCUUGGUUUCAAGAACAAAUUUCAAAGUUAAAAAUUGUAUUAUGCUAGGAAAAUUUCAGCUACUACAGUGCACUUAUUAUAAUAACUUGAUCGGUAAUGGAGCAAGCAUGGAUCAUUUAUAAUUACUUGGAUCAUCACUAAUUAACUACAUCAUGAUCUUGAUGUUGCAGAUGGACAAGGCGACCAUUCUUGGGGACGCGGUGAAGUACGUGAGGAAGCUGCAGGAGAAGGUGAAGACCCUGGAGGAGGACGGCGCCCACAGCGCCGGCGGCAGCAGCAGCAUGGUGCAGUCGGCGGUGCUCGUCAAGAAGCCGUGCCACCUGCAGCCCGAGGACGAGGCCAUCAUGGCGAGCGGCGGCGGCGGCGACGGCGGUCAGCUGCCGGAGAUCGAGGCGCGGCUGUCGGAGAAGAGCGUUUUGGUGCGGAUCCACUGCCGCAACGCGAGGGGGCUUCUGGUGAGGGUGAUAUCGGAGGUGGAGAAGAUGCACCUCUCCAUCACCCACACCAACGUCAUGCCCUUCCCCGCCUCCACCGCCAUCAUCACCAUCACAGCCAAGGCGAGUAUGAAUAAUUCAUCAUAUUUCUUUUUAAAAAAAUCAUCAUAGGAUCCAUCGAUCUGCACUACGUACUGUAAAUACCAAUCAAUUAAUCAAUUGCACCAUGCAUGCAUUCAUGGGCAACAACCGACAAGCUAGUAUGCAUAUGCAUGCAACUAGAGAGCAAGCAAAUAAUGCUAAUAUUAUAAUAUAUGUACUGUCUUUAAUUUGAGUAGUGUGCACCAUUUCGAUAUUAUUACCUUAUGGGUAUUCCUCUAUUUAAUAACAUUUAUCAUUGUAUGGACAUGUGUUUUUUCUUCUUCUCAAGGUACUCCACUCAUGGUAGAUCUUGAGGGAUCAAUGGAUGAUUACACGAGGAAAAAAAAGAUUAGGCAUAUAUAAAAAGGAAACACAAUUACUACAUACUUGGUGUAAAAACAUUUUAGAUGUGUUAAGGGAUUAAAGGCAAUUGCACAAGGUGCAAUAUAUAUACAUGUAUUUUGCAUGAGCUGCUAGUUAAAAUAUUAGGCGCUCAUUAGUUGUGGAUUGGUCAAGUCAGCUGGCAGAUGAAAUUUUCGUCUGUUAAAAAGUUUAUAAAAAAGAAUUGACUUCGGGUGUGCUUGAGUAGUUGAAAUAAUAGCAGAUGAAACAAAAUGAUGUGGGAAGAUAGUUGAUAUGAAGAAACUGUCAAAAGGGUGGGGUGACAAUUUGUAAAAUGUCAAAAAUGCAUAAAAGCUUCUUUCACAUCCCUUUUGUAAUAUAAAAUGUCAAUUUAAGGGGACAAUGUGAUCCGACUUCAACCAAUAAUAUCCAAUAUAACACACUAAUACUAUGUACUGAGAGUGAUACCUUGACUUAUGAAAAGUACCAUUCUAUGCCAUAUUGCUUGGGUAACAAUUUUCGUACAAAGAUGAUCAUAUUAUCUUUUGUUUGAGAUGAUAGUAUAUAUGAUGUUAAUGAUACUUAACACAUUAUUUUGAUCAGAUUAUUGUUCAACUGUCUUUCAGGUGGAGGAGGGGUUCAUUGCCACAGUGGAUGAGAUAGUGAGAAGUAUUAACUCCGUGCUACACCAACAUUACAGCAGCAGUUCUGAAGAAACAAGAGGAUAGAAAGUAGACAACAACCGCUAGCUAGCUUAUUUCCUAGGGGGAAAAAAACUAAGAAGAGGAUCACUACUGCAGCCAUGCUUCUCUCCAUCCAUGAGGUGAAGGGCAUCAAAUAAUUGAGCACGCAAUUAAGCCUCUUUAUCUGAUGAUAUAAUAACAUGAGAUCAGACACAGAAACUCUCAUCAUCAGGUAAACUAUGACGAAAAGAUGGCAUGCAUCAACAUGUUGAUCAAUGACGUGCGAGGAUCGAUUUCUCGACCACAAGUUGCAAGUUUCGGCCUAGCCGUACACUCAUGCAGUUGCUCAAUCAAAAUCAUUGAUGAGAGCAUCAAAAUGACCUUUUGCUUCAUGUCAAAAGAGAACAUGCAUGUUAUUUAAUACUGUUUUUUUUUGCAAGUUACAAUGUCUGCAUCAAACCCUUUCAUAUAUUUACACACUUGCUAUCGAUAAUAUUUCUGGAAAAUACAACGAUUAGCUGGAUCAGAAUAGGGCUAACAAAUCCAAUAUGAUCUCGAUCUGAUCUUAUACCAAAUAAUUACGUCAUUUAUUUUAGAAAACCAUCAAUCUGGAUUUGUUUUAAAUUAGUAUAUAUAAUCAGGUAUGCAAUCUUCUCUGAGUCAUGUAUGAGUCAUCCGUCAUGCAUCCAAAAGAAAUAUAUAUUUCUAUCGUAUAAAGGUCGUCUGAUCCUCACAAAAAGAAAAAAAAUAUUAUAAAGGUGUAUGGUUUAGUACUGUACGUGUUAGUUAGACGCUCUUUAAUUAUGUAGCGUUUGUUUAAGAGAUAUCGCGUGAUCUGUACAGCACGUACUGAAGAUACGGAAGCUCCGGUCAGAAAUUUAAUUAAAUUAAAGAUCUCUCGAUCCAAUUGUUUUUUGUGGUGAGAUACAGGGAAAGCUGUUGAGAUUUGCAGUGCAAAGUUGGCACAGUACUGUUUGCAUAAAAUGCAACAUGUCUUUGGUUGGCAUAGCAAGCCAAGAUCGAAGAUAUGAUCAUCAAUCAGGUACUGCAUGCAAUUGUAUUAUAUAUUCUGCAGUUGUUGCAUACCAAUAUAUACCAUCAUGUCAUGGAUCAUGUGUGUGUACACAUUAAUAUACGUGAUCAAGGAAUAAAGCAUGAUGAUUUAGCAGCCUUAACGAUGAUUUCGAGAGAUUUGUUGCAAUCAUAUAUUGGAUUAUUCUUUUUUUCCUUGAGGAAGCAUCUUGGUGAUGAACACACCAUCUUCGUUCCUUCUUCUGGGGACCCGGCCGUCUGGUCGUUGCCGGACAAGAAAUACUCUAAUGACACAAAGGGUACAGUACCAAACUGGAGGGACAUGAACUAAAAAAUAUUCUGAAUUGAGAUCAGUUGGCAGAUCAGCAGAUCUCAAGCAACUAUAUAUUCUUUUCAACUUUUGAUCGCCUAAAAUAAGAAACUAUCGUUUUGGUAUAAAAUAAGAAACCAUUAUAUUAAUUUGUUUAUUAUGUAUCAGUGCAAAAGUUACACUUUAGUUUAGCUAAAGCUAAGCUAGUUAAAAGUAUACUAUAACAUCUAUAUCAGUAGGCAAUUGGGCACAUGCAUGGCUGGAAGCAGGUUUCAAUAAUUGGUGGAUUAGCCAUGCUGCCCUGGAAUAUUUUAUUAUUAUUGCCAAUGAAAGUUUAUUAGUUUGGAGGCUGCAGGGUACACGCCAUUCAAGUGUUUAGUUGUGACUGGCUGCAUGCAUAGCUGACUGUAGUAAAAGGAAAGCUCCAUCAUCGUCUCAAAAGAAAAAAGAAACAAACACGCCGUUAGCUUUCUGCAUGGCUGUGCCCUGAAUGAUUUGGUCAUCGAUAUUGCAAAACUGAACAUGAGCUCUGAGCCGUAAGUGCAGAGAUCAGAUCUGAUGGAGGCAGCAUAUCCUCUCCUACUUGAAUGCUUGUAUUGCAGAAGUUCUGAAGGAAAAAAACAAUAUAAUGCAGUACACGCUUUAAAAAAAAUUCCACAUUCUAAGUGAAGUGCAAUCUAAAAAAGAUCGAUGGUCCAGACUACUGAAAGAGAGGACCAGACACUAACAUUCAUAUAUAUUUAUAUAUAUAUAUAUAUAUAUAUAUAAUAUCUACUGGUCAAACUGACACAUAAGUUUUUGAUUUAAACAUUGGCACGCGCGGUCCCCAAACUGACUGCUAUUUUUUUCGUAAUAUAUUUAAUUUUUAGGGUGAAGAAAAAAUAUACUACUAUAAAAACUACUUUGCAAGGCAGAUAUCAUUUCAAAUAUCAAAACUAAAAAUUAUAAAGAAAAUUGCAAUCAAAGUUUAUAAUGGUUGCCUUGCAAGUAACCUAAAGGAUACUCAACUUUUUACUAGAUGGAGUAGUUGGCUGAGUGAAAGCUAGCAACCUCUGGAGAUGGUUCUCAGGUGAAGAUGCAAUCUGAAUUAAUUGUACUGGACCAAAAAACUUGAAUCUACUCCCAAAGAAAAAAAAAUACCUUCAACUACAGUUGCCCUCUUGCCCAUAUCAGAGAGUCAGUGUCGUCAGUGGUCACUAGUAAUAAUAUAUUUUUUGCAGUUUUUAUGAUGCUAGCUUUCAUGUGGCAUCUGCAGCUGCUUUGAUACCCGACCCAGCAGCAUAACCGUAGGAGAGGAGUAGCUCAUCACGAUCACGCACGAACCCCCCGUGACGGGUUUGAUGUGACUAAUUAAGGCAGCGAAGCUACCAUCAGUUGCAGUGUUUAGAGGUUUUUUUAGCCAGCUAAAAGUCGGCUAGUUAAAGUUUAGCUGGGGUGUUAUCCUACCCUUGGGCCUCCUUCCUUCCUCCUCCCUCCCCUUCGGCCUCCGCUCGACCGCAGCCGCGCCGGCCGCCGCCCCGUCAUCCGGCCGCACACAGCCGCUGCCCCCGUCGUCCGGCAGCACCCGCCGCCGGUCCAUCUGGCCGCGUCGCCGUCCUGCCGCCUCGUCUUGCUGCGCCGCCAAUCCACGUUGGGGCCGCGCGGGUGGCCGCGCCUCUCGUCGCAUGCUGGUGGCGGCCGCUGCACUGCGCUAGAGCCGCUUCACCCCUCCACGCCGGCCACCACCUCGCCUUCACGCGCCGCCGCUCCACCCCCGGCGGCGGCCCCCACGGCGGCGGUAGGUCCUGGACGGUUCCAUGUCGCAUUGAUUGGGAGUGAUUUCUGUUGGGAAUGAGCGAGGGUGUUUUGGUCUUUUGUUGGUUUAGGCUAGUUUAGGGUAAACCAGCUUAAGGAAUGAAUGUUUAGCCGGCUAAAGUUUAGUUGGGUCCUAUUUCGAUCGCCAGCUAAAUAAAGCUUGUGUCACUGAACUCAACCACUUGCCCUGAUCUCCAGAUUGUUUAUUGCAUUCGGUCGCCAUUAAAGGUUCUUGCUGCGAUUCAUGCAUGCUUUGCUUUGGAUCGAGCAGCGUACGUACAGUGUUCUCCAGCCCCAGAGGAGUAACCUUCGCCAGCAUAACAUUGUUUUCUUGCAUUGCAUAAUGAAAGCAACGCUACUGCCAAACAUGCAUUGCAUCUGGUUACAUCGAGCACUAACAAUCUGCAGAUACAAACAAUCCAACUGUACCAGGCAUGCUGUCAUGAAAUAAAAUCACCAUUCUUUUCUACAUGCUGUCGUUAGGUGAAUAUUAGAAAUCAUCCUUUUUCACCUCAUCCAAUCUUGUAUGUAAAGAUCUCUAUUGAGAUCAUACAGUAAAUCGGAUAAGGUGCAUAGGGCAACACACAUGAGAGACAGACCCAUCUGUUCAGAAGCAACUUUUAUUACCACACUUUCCUUUUUUUCCUUUUUUUUUCGGCGACCACAUAUUUAUCCUUUUUAGUACAGCCGUGUAGGUUAUUCACGCCAUGUACACAGUUUUACAGAGAAAUUACAGCAAGGCUUUCCAGGAAGCCAAAACACAGCACAUGUCUUUCUAUGUUGGGGUUGGACAUCUGCUAGAUGGCCGGUCUCACUUGUUGAUGAAAGAGACGCCCUUCUGGAUACUCUCGGCCAGCUCUUUCUUUGCCUUCUCAAGACCAGCUCUGCAUGAUAGUGAUGUGUGAUGAAGAUGAAGCGUAUGUAGAUCAGUAGAGCUCUAUGAUAUCAAAUAGGAUUGGACUAGGUAGGCCCCGAGCUGAGCAAGUUAAAACAUGUUGCAACUCAUCUUUGGGUCUAAUAUUUCUGCAGUUUCCAUGUAAAUUUUUGCCUAGGACCAGUGCUGGAACCCAGGCGGCACAGGUCACAGAUCCGCCACUGUAAAUAUGGUAUGUUGAAACAGGUUUGAAUAUAAUCUGGCAAUGUUAUGAUUGUGAUCACUAUAUUCUAGUAUAUGACAGUGUUACUGACUGUGAGCCAUAGGUCCAUGUCCAGCAGAAAAGAACUCAUGAAACUGGCUUAUUGUCAGUAUCUACUACCAUAUGAAGGGUCCAAUCAUGAUUCACAAAGAGUAAUAUGAACACAAAUUUCAGACAAAGUAAAUUCGCUGAGGCAGUUGCCUGCCCCUGGUGUUGACUGAUAGAGAAUAUCUAUCCUAAAUGCAUGCCGGGAACAGGAAUACUUCCAAGUUUCAAAAGUAGAGGGUGCAGACCUUUCGAACUCAUUCAAUGGCCCAAGUGGCAAUAUUUCCUCAACACCAGAGCGCCCUAACCGCACUUUGGAUGCAAAGAAAGGUAGCUCCGUCACCUUCAAUCACAAGACAAGGAAGACAGAAUUCACAAAUCAGAAAUACUAUUUAGUGAAGGUGGUUAAAACACAAAUUGAAUCAUGAUUAUAUUCAGUAUACACGAAAGAAGAAACCUGAGAAGCAACAUAAGAGCACUCCACUAUUCCGGCAUCACCACGCAGUCCUCUCAGGCAUGCAUCUGCAAAUUUAGCAGCUGCAUACGCCUACAAAGCAAGUUUCAAUGUUAACUGAAGCAGCACUACAAACUACAAACUGUGGACACUAAUCUUGAUACAAGUGGCAGAAACAGACCAUUGAAAGAGUCGCUGAUCCUGCUCCAGCUUUAGCCUGAAACAUAUACAGUAUGAGAUAAAAAAAUGAUUUUUUAGUAUUGACUGCAUUACAGUCAAGAACAGUUUCCAGAACUAUUAUUGAGAGAAGUAUGAGACCUUCACUAAACUAGUAACACCAAAACCUAGCACCUGGCAUAUGGGUAAAAAGCCAUGCACCUAAUCUUGCAGUUAACAUCAUGAAGAUGCCAUUGAUAUGCAUAUACGCACCCAAUUAGUCUUGUAUAUCCAAUAUAAUGACUGUCCAGAGUCCAGACGUUCAUAUAUCCAUUUUACUAGUGAUCUGACUCUUAUACUCUCAAAAUUAAGCAUGCCAAUUCUUUUUUUCAGCUUUGUUAAUCAUAGAACUAAACAGAUAAAACCAGUGCGCAUAGUAGAUCUAGGGCUGAGGAAAUGCAAAAGGGCCUGUGCAAUUGACUUUUCUUUCAUCCUUGUGUAUAAGAGAUACAGAAUUAGACGGCAAGGAAAAGCAUACCUCAACUACUUCUGUCCCACCAUUCUGUAUGCGAGAAGUGAGGUGAUUAACCUCUUCUGACGUGAGUGAGCAGGCAGGAUUCACCUAUGUAUAAAAUAAAAUAAGGUGAAAAUUGAAAUUGAUCCCCUACUAUUUCCAGACCUGUGAAAUAAUUUUCAAUAAUUUUGUAUCACUUCCAAUUAUUCCUAAGUCCUAACCUGUGAAAGGAGUGGUAAUAUUGUAACUCCAGCAUGCCCACCAAUGACAGGAACAUUGACUUCUCUGGGAUCAAGUCCAAGAACCUCUCCCUGCAAAACAGAGGUGAAUCAAAGAAAUUAACCAUAUAGAAACUAGUAUCACCAUAAUAAACCAUGGCAAACUCUGCUUAUGAUUUGAAGCGCAUACCACAAAAGUGUUGGCUCUCACUACGUCAAGUGUUGUAACCCCUAAAAGGCGCUUAGGAUCGUAUGUGCCAGCUUUCUUGAAAACUUCAGCCGCAAUGGGAACAGUGGAAUUGACAGGAUUACUGAUCACGUUCACAAUUGCCUUAGGGCAGCAUUUUGCAAUUCCCUCACAAAGAGUACGGACGAUUCCAGCAUUGAUGUUAAACAGAUCAUCCCUUGUCAUCCCAGGUUUCCGAGGGACACCAGCAGGAAUUAUCACAAGAUCCAUCCCAGUUAGAGCAUUUUCUAACUGUGGUUGGCCCAAGAAUCCACGCACCUGUAGAAUCUCAAACCUAAGUAAGUACAUCCAGUAAUACUAGCAUUUACGAUUCAAGAAUCCAACGGAUAACAGAACAAAUGCAGAGGGCACUCAAGAAAAUCUCAGAACUAACAAAACUGAAUCCAAGGAUAGUUACACACUUGUUAGAAAAAACUGCAAGCAGGAUGUUGUUUUUAACAAGGCAAAAUUAACUCUCCUAUGCAGAUUCUGUUCAGGGCCACACAACAUACUCGCUUCUAAGUGUUGUUACAGAAGGGUGAGGGGAGUGGGACGGGUACAUUAUGUGUACUGUAUGCCGCCUUUUGGAGACAACUACAGUGAAAAUCUCUGUUAGGAAUGGAUGCAAGUUUAGCAAUAGAAAGGCUUUUCCUAUAAUGAACCUUUUCAUAUUGUUAAGCCUCUAAUGUUCAGAGAUGGUGUACUGGCUGUGUGGAAAGACAGUCCACAUAAUACCAAAAACUUAGUAACAAGAAACGGAUUUGCACAUCUCCGUAGGUAGUGGCUGGGAUUUGUUACUCCAUUAUCUAAAAAUGUGACUGUAUAAGUUGAGAUUUGAACAAUUAUCACUGAAUGGUCAGGUACUAAGUCUCUUUCAAGGCUUUCAGUAGAAAUUCUGACAUGACAUGAUUUACACAACUCACAGGUAAAUUUCACAGGGAAAUUUUAUUUUUUUCAUGAGUUAAAGAAUUAUAACAGCAAGCUGGUUAAUCUCAACUUAUAUCCUCUUAAUAUUAACCUAAGAGUCACAAGUGCAGUAAAAAGACCUACGUGCAGCACUUAUAUCCUCUAAAUAUUAACCUAAGAGCCCAUAAAGGAACUAAUGGUAAUAAGGCCUACUAGCAUGCUGGUGUCAAUCUAUCUUCUGAAUUUGCCAGAAUCUCAUAAAAUGAUUUUUUUUAUAAAAAAAAUGGGAUACACGCAAUGGCAAGAAGCAUACCACAGCACCAGUAUUCAUGUGGCUAAUGUCAGCCGUGACACCAGGUGCGUUGACGACAUCAUAUAGAUGGAGCACCGAAACAAGAGGGUUCAUCUUCAUCAGUAGCGCGAGUGGCUGCCCGAUCCCACCAGCUGCACCCAAGAUUGCGACCUUGAAGCCUGGCGCCGCCCCUUUUGCACGGCAAAUGGAUCCCCUCAGGAGGGAGACCUCCUCCAUCUUGAAAACAAAGCAAUGGUAGAGAAUUUAGCAGAUAGUUAAAGCAGAUCUCAGAGAAGAAGGCAGUACAUCAACCAAAAGAUUUAAGGUACAGCUGAGCCUAGACUCAAGUCUGAAGGUAUAAACUCGUAGAUAGCUCAUACCAGGUAUAAUUAUCAGGAGAACUAACUUGAACACAAUUCUAAAAUCACUAAGACAGGCCGGUGGCAAUCAAAUAUGCAGGUACCCAAAAGGGACAGCUUGGGUUCAUUGCCAGAUUCAAGUGAUGUUUGCUAGAACUUUGAAGUGUAUGUCAUGCGUGGUUUAUCAGGUACUGGCAUUCAACUAUCAACAGCUAAGCAGAAAAAUUAUGGAUUGAUGUAAUUCCUGAUGGUAUUUGAUACGAGAUUGAAACGGACUCUACUAUUUAUCAGCACUGUGCUCAUUUGCGCACACGAAUCGUUCAUCCGCAAAUCAGUACCCAUGUGACUGUGAGAGAAAUUUCGGGGGCCCCCGGACCAAAAGGAUCGUCCUUUGACGCCAAAGAUCCCAGCUUUCGUGGAGCGGCGGCCGCCUUCGCCGGGCAAAUGAGACGAGUCCCUUGACCAUUGACGGCGGGUCGGACGGAGCUUGGUUCUCCGCGGCAAACCCGAAUUCACAGCGAAAGCUGGGCGACUAGGAGGUUCUAGAGACGGGAAGGGCAGGCGACGGUGAAAGCGAAACCAAGCAGUCCGCCAUCACUCCCUGAUCCGGAGGACCCCGGGCAAAUCAGGAGAAGCGGAGAGGGGCCCAAGGAAAAAGGGAGAACGCGGUGACGAACCUGAGGGUAAGAGGAGGCGGGGUCCGGGCGCAGGUGGGAGGCGAGCGUGGCCAUCCGCCUGGCCGCCGCCGCGUCGGCCCCUUGCUGCUCCAUGGUUGCCUUGGAGUUGCAGAGGCAGAGAGUCUCGCAGGAAGAGGAAGAGGGUGUCUGUUGCAAAACGUAGGUAAGGUGUUCGCGGGACGAUGCGUGCACGUUUCCGACGGAGUUGGUUGUGCUAUGGUAUGGGCCGUAUGGGCAGGAAGGCGGGCGGUGCGCAGAGAAACUCUGUCGUCCCAAAAUAUAGGUUGAUUUAGUUUUUUUAGAUUCGUAGAUAAUUUAGAUCGAGGCAGAGAAAUUGUAACACCCAAAUUUUUAAAGAAUUCAAAUUCAUUAAAAUUGGUACAAUUAGGAUGUCAUUUAAAAUUCUUAGGCAUAUUAAUUUUCUUUUUUUCUCCAAAUUUAAUUAAUUCAUCAUAGGAUUUUAUUGUACAUUCAUGCUGGUGCAUUUAUUUUGAUUGCUUGAGUUUGAAUCAAAUUUGAAUUUCAAAUUUAAUUUUCAAAUUUUCGAAACCUUACUUUUCUCUUUUUCUUUUUCUUCUCUUAUCUUUUUGUUGGGCCACACCCUUCUUUCCCCUUCUUCCUUUUCUUUCGGCCCAGCCGCACAGCAGCGUCGUCGGCCCGCUCCAUUUUUUCGUCGGCCUGCGAAACUCCCCGCUCCAUUUUCUCCCUCGCCGGCCCAGCUCUCCUCGCCCGCUCGGCCCACCGCUUCGCCUUUCCUCCGCGGCCCACGAAGCAGCACGGCCUGCUCCCCUUCCGCCGAUCUGACGGGUGGGACCCACCCGUCAUCCCCGUCCUCCGGCCGUAUCCGGCCGGGACUCCUCCCCCGACCGCGCCGGACUCUGCCGCCUCCGCAACCACCUCGCCCCCGCUCCGAUUUCCUCGGGCGUUCAAAUCCGAGGCCGCCCCUAUCUCCAAGCGUGCCGCCCCUAUUUAAGCCCCCCCCCCCCCGACCUCGAACACCCCGCGCCAGCACCGAAACCCUAGCCGCCGCAAGCUCCAGCGCCGCCGCCAAUUCUCCGCCGCCAAGCGCCGCCCUCCGGUGAGCCUCGGUCAUCAUGGACCGCCAAAACGAGAACGCCGUGCUUUCCUCUUGCUUCUGGUGUUCUCCGCGUGCGAAACCGAGCCCCGGAGCGCCGUUUCGGCCAACUCCGGCGACCCCGCCGCCGCGCUACCGCCGACGACCGCGACCGUCGGAUCCAGAUCCGACGGCUCGCAGCGGGUCAACCGAACCGCGUACCGGUCAACCGCGUCGCGUCGCUGUUCUUUUUCACUUAAGCCCUCGCCUUUUCCGCAAAUCAACCCGCGGUCCAGAUCACGUUGAAAAUAUUUACAGAUCUGCCCUCGCGUUUAUCGGUUUAAGACCUGAGUUUUCUAAAAAUCAACCCGCCGUCCGUUUUGGAGUUUUUGCACGUUAAACCUUCGGUUUAUACGCGUAAUUACGUAUAAGUCCUCGGUUUUUUUCGCAGUUUGACCCUAGGAGUUUUGUUUUUCUCGCAGAAAAGCCCUCGGAUCUUGUUUUAAUCAUAUCUUUUGCAUCUUAACUCCGUUUUUCGCGUCCUUUAUAUCCACGUGUUCGUUUUAAAGCGUAGAUCAAUUUUACAAGCUUGUUUUCUCUGUUUAAUUGUGAUUGGUGUACUGUUUCUUACAUUUUGCCCAUGUUUGCUUGUAUGUGCUCGUGUGACGCGUGUAGACGUUCAGCAGUUCGAGGGAUUUGAAGAUCAAGCCUUCGAGGAGUACGAACAGCAGGAGCAAGGCCAAGAAGGCAAGUCGUGUCCUUGAUCACUACUUUUCCGUCCUAUACACCUCUACUUUCUCGUACUCAACAUUUAUACUAUGCACAUGUUAAGAUUAAAUUCAUGGGUCCCAAUUAAGGUUCGCCUAGAUUGAAACUACCUUUGCCUUGACCAACCAGGUUUACCUUUUAUCUUGGGUAGCUCAUGCUUAGUGCUUACUUGGUAUAUGGUGGUUUAACUAAACUCAAUGUUUAAUAUUGCUUUACUUCUGUUAUACCUUUUAUUAAUACAAGAUCACUAUUGUUUAAUCGGAACAUGGAGAACCACCCAGGAAAACAGUGCUACCACAAGACUAAAUGGCUCUGGUCUUGGCUGAAUAAUUAGAAACUCUAGUUUGGGGUAAUCUUACCGAAAGGGCAAGAGGGGAGGCGUUGAUGGGAUAUAGCACUCGCUCUCGGGGGAAGUGGGCUUGGCUAAGACACUAUACCCACUAGGGGACUGCUAUGUUCUACUUCGACCUGAAACCUUAGCGGGUUACCACAUUGCUAGCGAAUCUUUGUAAAGGCCUCGUAGCGUCCCUAUGCAAUCACACCUCGGAAGUGUGGUACGGUGCCUUGCAAACACCGCAUGGUUAGGUCCAAAGUUCUUUUGAACUUUUACGCGACUUGUGGGUAAAGAUGUGCCACCUCUGCAGAGUGUAAAACUGAUCGAUCAGCCGUGCUCACGGUUAAGAGCGGCCUGGACCCUCACAUGAUAAUAUUAUCGGAAGAUGGAUUUAAAUUGUUGUCAUUUCAUGCAUAUGUUGUUUACUUUAUUUAUGCUCAUGUUUAAUUUCGGAUGGUAUAAACUUAUACUUAGUUAAUUGCUAAAUAAAACUUGACCAACUGAAUUAAAAGCUGAUGCCAAUUAAGCCUUAGCCAUACCUUGAUUUGCCUUACACUACACUAUUCCCCACGACUUGUUGAGUACCAACCAUAAGUGUACUCACCCUUGCAAAACCGCUGUUCAGACCAAGCUAAUUUGGAGGAGUAUCUGCACGACUUUGAGGAGUUCUAGGCGUACGGUUCAUCAGUCAGCUGCCUAUGGUGUCGUCGUCGUCUUUGGAGUUCCGCUGCGUAAUAAUUUAGGUUUAUAUUUUAUUGAGACUUUCGAUCAUGUAAUAAUGUUUAAUACUCCCUUUAUUCGCUUUAGCACUGUCUCUGUUAUUCACUAUUGUCGUACAUGUGUGUAACUUAAUCCUGGCGCACAUGUAUUUAAUACACUCGAUUUUUUCCUUAAAAUCAGGUGUGAUAGAAAUUGCCUUCGUUUCGGUCUUGGUCUCAUUUGCAUUUGUUUCCCCUUUACCUUUGCAACACGAUAUCAUGGAGGGCCAUGGAGUAUCUUCGGUUGGUGGUGACUAUAGUUCGUUCCAUUUCUUUACUGCUCCUCUCCUCUGGUUGAAAAUAUUCUGAUCUCGCUACAAUAAUUGACUCUUGAGGUUAAGACAUAGUAACAUUCUUGACAAAGAUGGUUAAAAGAAGAACAAUUUCUAAAACAGUGCCGUACAACAACACAACAGAUGUUGGUAUACAUAAGUUGAUUUUCUAUACAGUUUAUAACAAUAAUCAGUCAAUCACUCUCUCCACACUGUCUCUGAGAUGCAGGCAUUGCCACACUAACUAAUCCGCGCGUAUCAGAGGGCACAAUUGGGUAUUGACAACACCAGGAGUGGUUAAAGGCACCAAAGUCAACUUGCUGCUGGAUCUUCGUCUGCCGUACCUUCCACAUGAGCUGGGUGAGAUGAACAUGUAAAACUUAUCUGCAAUUGCAAAUUGAAUGCUCCUGGAUCUUCGUCUGCCGUACCUUCCACAUGAGCUGGGUGGGAUGAAAAUGUAAAACUUAUCUACAAUCGCAAAUUGAAUAAUGGCCGUUAGCAUCCCAACAACAAACUUGCAAACUUUUUCGAAAUCGAGCUCCAUGAUACUGCUUACCAUGGUAUAUUGGUUUUCUCCAAUGCUUCAUCAUUCAGAGUCCAUCUUGUGCCCCCCAUAUGCAUAGACCUCGUGAAUGAAGGGGAAAAGGCAACGGAAUUGUUAGGUCACGAUGAAUCACUUUGAGCGGCAUCAAGACCCAGCAGCAUCGGGCUAUAUAUAUCAAUGCAUGCCUUUUUCUUUGUAAGCAUGCAAUUGUUAGCGGAAGGUCAUGAAAAAACUAUUACUGUAAAUCAUCAUCCAUUUAUCAUGACUUCCUUUUAUUUAGCACUUCAUGCAUUGAUGGUCUUGGUCUCCACACACGCUCCAUGGCAAACGCAAAAAGGGAUUAAGUCAUCCAGAUAAAGGCUGAGAGGAUAGACUUGUUGACCAUAUGUUUUACAACAGGUAGUACGUCUGAAAGCUAAGAUAGUCUACUGCCUAGCAAGUUCGACGCAAACCUCAGCCUCAUAGGUUCUUCAUUUCUUCAGACUUUGGUGAGCGUUGUAUUAUUUUUUGUUGCAGAGCCUGAGAUGUCCAGCAAAAAACUGACCAGCUCCUGGAUUUUGACACCCUUCUCGUGUAUGAUUUCAGUAUAUUUCAGCUUCCGGCAUUGGAACCGCACAAGGUUCCCAAACUGAGGAUAUGUCUUCUUCAGCUUGGCCUUUCCUUUCCGACACAUGGAAACUUUUGGGAGCUGUCUCCACCAAACAAAGGACUCGUAAGUUACAAGCCAAAAUUUCUAAAAUUAUGGAUUUUCUCCUAAUUUUGCUUUUAAAAAUUUUAAAACCCAAUGGACAUUUCUUCCAGAACUUCUCAAGUAUGCAAAUAGUCAACCCAAAAACAUAAUUCAACUUCUGCGACAGCAAUUCUUUCACUUCUGUGGUAAUGUAACUGGUCUGUUCUCACAGACUUCUCUAAUCCUGGAUCAGAGGUGUUGUAUGCAACUCAACAGUACAACAAGAAACAUAUGAACAUAUAGAGUAACCACAAAAUUCAGGACAAAAGAUCAUCAUUAACAUGACGGGUGUUCUAACUGGGUGCAGAUAUUUGAAAGAAGAAAGCUCGAGCAAUGCUGCUUCAUCAGAGGAGAAAAUUAAAUCAGAGUUUAGAGCUGUAUACUGUUGAUAUCAGCAACAGGCCCUAGUAAGGAAGUUUGUAUUGCAAAAAUGCUGGGCUGGUGGUGAGAAUUAAACAACAAGCAACAUAGGGGUGAACCAACUAAGCACCAUACAUCCAUACUAGAGAUCAGUAUUAAUACAGCCUAAUAGCAAAAGAUCCGAUGAUGAACUUAACGAGUGUGGAGUUGAAAGGUCUGACUAUAUCUCCGUAAAGAAAGAAGGGUGUACCGUUUUAAGCUCGGACUGGUCACUCGUUUGCCCCAUCCUCGGAUCCUUUGCAGCACCUUCAGAGUACUUUCAAGUUUCAAUAGCAAAAAAUCAUGUGAGACAUGUAUGCAGGUCAACACGUGUCACGUAGUCAGAGUAGAUAAAGAAAAAUGUUAAGUACCCGUACCCAGAAAUCCUGCAAAAUAAGCUCCUCCAGAUUUGGGGACUUGUGCAGAAAUCUCCCAAGAGCCUUCAAUUUAUCAGCAUCCCGUUCGCUGAAGAAACAGUAGCUGAGAGACAAGGUUCUCAGGUUGUCGAACAUUGGGAACUUAUCUAACUCGUUGUCUAAGAAGGCCUGAAACAGAGAAGCAGAAACAGACUUGAGUCAAUAACGAAACUGAUCUAGUUCAGUAGGUCUUGCACAGAGUUCUGACGGUGGUGGUGAAAUCUUCAAAUGAGCUUUACUAGUUAUGCAUGGAACAGAGACGGCUGUAGCAUGGAAGAAAGGCAUACCAUUGCUUGAAAGAAUUGCAACUCCAAACUUGUCACACUGAAUAGACUGCCAAGAAGAAUGGCUUCAGUUCUUGGAGAUAACUGUUCAGGCAUUACAGAAAUUGAUGCCUUGACAAGGGAAUUUCCUGCCUCUAACGACAGACCAUUGUUGUAGCAACUAGAGUCCAGGAACAUGGAAGCUAGACAAGGAGCCCUGACGACCAAUGUAUCUGCAACCCGACUUGUACAAGCACGAACUACCAAGUUCCUGAGCGUGUCGGAUUGAAUGACAGCAAAGUUGUUGGCACAGUUGUGGAGGAGCAAAUCUUCCAGGACUGGGCAUCCAGAACUGAGCCGCUCCGAGAAGCAAGGGUCCAAAGACACCCACAAGCUCCAAGCUUUUGAGGCGAUGAAAGCCGGAGCCAAGGCGGGGGAUCUGGAAGUGGUACCUGAAGAUGUCGCGGUAAACACGAAUCUGGAACACAGGAGGCUGGCACUUGAUGCCACGGCGGACCCAUCUCUCGGUGUCGCGACACAGAUCGGGAAACUCAGUAGCCCAAAACAAGUCGAGCCGGAAAGCGUCCAGGCAGCGGGCGUUGUUGAGCAUCAGCAAGUUGUUGGUGAAAUCCUGCAGCUUCCUCCACCAGUGGCCUCCUCUGAAAUCGCUGGUGCUGAACGCCACAGAUCCAUCCACCUCUUAGACAGCACGGUGGUCUGCACCGCCUGCCGGGACGGGAGGAAGGAGAGGACGUGGCAGAGGAGCUCGUCCGACAGGGCGCUCAGCCGGUCCGGUGCCGAGCCGCGGGCCGUGCGGGCCUGCUUGGCGGCGGCCGCCUCCAUCGCAAGAAAAGCCCCGUCCGGAACCCGACCACCGCCGCGGCCACCUCCGAUCCGGUCGCCGGAGGAAGAGGCAAAACCCUCACAUACGGAGGUCUCGUGCCUCCCGGCGGCGAGGAAGACGAGCGACAGCUGCUGAAUCCGAUGGCCCAGCAGCCAGCAGCAAUCGCCUCUCACUCUUCUCACUCUCUCUCUCUCUCUCCCGUACGGAUGGGCCAAUGGGAUCAGGCGGGAUACGGCCCGUUGAAGCACCGGAUGAAUCGUUGGGCCUCCAAUUGGCCCAGCAGACAACCCUAGUGGCCGAUCUCCAACCGGUUAGGGUGAUCAUUCGGACGGGACUUUUCUAUCCAUCGCGGGACUCAACUACUCCCGCUAAAUUCAAUGUCCUAACGUCGCUAACACCCUUAUAAUUUAAUAAACUACGAUUUAUGAAUUAUGACUUGCUUCCUUCCGUUUUGGCUUUUAUAAGUACAUAUUUUUGAUAUAUAUAUAUAUAGUAUGUCUAGAUACGUAGAAAAUGAUAUGCAUCUAGAAAAGGCAAAUUGAAUAGUAAUUUAGGACAGAGGGAGUAUUUUAUAAGUUAUGACUUAUUUGCUUAGGAUGUGUUUGGUUUUGGAACGAUGUGGGUUGGGUUGGAGCCGACCUCCUUUUAUGGGUUGGAGUCGACCCAUCUCGUGUUUGGAUGAGAGGGACGAAGAGGGAUGGGUUGGGUCCAAUUUUUUGUUUGAUUGGAGGGAUUGAGAAGGUUGGGAUGGAUGGCAUUUUAACACCGUUAGCUAUGGGUCCCACCUGUCAGCUACAGGCCCACAUGUCAUCCUCACCCACCUUAUCUUCUUCCUCUGGCCACUCUCCCUCUCCCCCGAGCCACCGCUCCCUCUGCCCCCGCGCCGCCGCCCCUCUGCACGUGCGGCCGCCGCUCCUCCCUCCUCCGUGCCGCCGCUCUAUCUCCCCGCGCCACCGCUCCUCCCUCUCCCCUUGCGCCGCUCCUCCCCUGCGCUGGCUGCCGCCCCUCUCCCGCGCUGCUCCCUCCCCACAUCAGCCGCCGCUCCCCUCCCUGCGUCCUCCUCCGUUCCUACUCGGGCGAAGGGCGGUAGCGAGGAUGGCAGGAGGAGGCGGGGCCGGUGGGAGGGUGGAGGGGCCGGGUUGAGGGCGUCGGGCAGGCGGCGGACAGGUGGCAGGGGCGUCAAGCAGGCGGCGGCGGCGAUCGAGGCAGAUGCGGGGGCAGGGAGGUGCGCGCACGGGAGAGCACAGCGCUCGUGCGGGUCGAGUGCGUCCGCUCGUUUUGGGCGGACGCAUUCAACCCGCAUCUACAGGGAAUAUUCCUUACGGGGGACGAAUCCAACCCAUUCCAUUUCCAACCAAACGCGGGAUGAGGGGGUCGAACCCAUUCCAACCCACAUCAACCCGGUAACCAAACACACCCUUAUGCUUGCACUCGUGCCUGCAUGUACUUAUUUGCAUAGCGCUAAAGGUUAUAGCUGUCGCUAUAGCUGUAUUUAGCGGCUAUAGGUUGAGGCUAUCCGCACCCGGAGUCUGCAAAGAUGCCUCAACUGGAAAGAUAGAGCUGCAUGCACUGCACCGCAGCACGCUAUCCCCAUCUCCACCGAAGCGUUCGCUACAGGAAACCUGGAUACCCAACAUUCGGCUCCGCUACGCUACGCUCUCUCUUCGCCUACCACGAGCCCCGCCCACCCCGCCGCGCCGCCCGCUCUCUCUGUCUCUCCCGGGCGUGAUACAGGCGAUGCGGCGGCAACAUCCGUGUCCUCCAGCGCCUGUAAAAGCCCUUCUGACAAGUGGGCCAACCCCUUUACCGCGUCCUUUGCAGACCGCCGCGGUGCGGUCAGCCUCAGGAGCACUUCAUUGUAUUGCGACUUCUACACGAAUAGGCUUUAGCUAUUGGGGCGCUACACUUUAAAGAAAGAUUAUCUUGAAACCCGCCAUAAAUUUAUUUUUAGUAAACCGUACCUUAUUAAUAUUAUUAUUUCAGCUGUACACAUUAGUCUUGUCCCAAGCAGCGUGGAGAUUUAGCGAGCAGAGUAGACCGAUCCGUUACUAUGGACCCGUUUGGUUACUUUUGCUUAUUUUUAGCACGUGUCAUAUCGAAUGUUUAGAUACUAAUUAGGAGUAUUAAACGUAGACUAUUUACAAAACUCAUUACAUAAGUGGAGGCUAAACGGCGAGACGAAUCUAUUAAGCCUAAUUAAUCCAUCAUUAGCAAAUAUUUACUGUAGCAACACAUUGUCAAAUCAUGGACUAAUUAGGCUUAAUAGAUUCGUCUCGCCGUUUAGCCUCCACUUAUGUAAUAGAUUUUGUAAAUAGUCUACGUUUGAUACUUCUAAUGAGUAUCUAAACACGGGUGCUAAAAAUAAGCAAAGAAACCAAACCAGAGCUAUGUCAUCUUAUAUAGCUAGCCAACGAAGAGAAUAGGGAUAUACCUACGCUCGCUACAUGCCGAGAGCUACAUUCGUACUCGUAUCCACGUGGAGGCGUCCAGCACCUUGCAUCAACAUCAUCGACCAAUUCAAUUCUGUGUAGCGGUAUUAUAGACGGGGACGGCCCAAUGCAUUUUCCCCCACUAAAUAAACAAUGAAUUCGAUCACCAUUGCAUGAUGUUGUACCAUAGGAGUACUCUAAUACAUCAAAGUACUCCGGUUCCGAUCAUGGAUGGAUCAAGAAACUCGUGCUAACGAGUAAUUUAACAUAUAUAGGAACUCGUGCCGGCGUCAACCUGUCCGAUCAAGACGGGUGGGGCAUUAUACUGCAUGCGCGCGUCAUUGUGUAUUGGUAUAGUAAUUAAGCUAGCAGAUAUAAUCUGCAGGGCUCCUUGCAACGCGCAAUAAAUAAAGAGGAUGGCGAUUACUCCCUCCAUCCUGCAAAGAGCGUCCCUUUAGAUUUAUCCUAAGUCAAACUAUUUUAAGCUAGGUUGAUCAAGUUUACAAUGAAGAUAUCAGUAUUUACACUCUUUGCAGGACCAGAAGUCAAUGGUUAGAUUCCUCCAUAAUGCCAAUCCAGCAAAGCACCAAUAACUUCUGGUCCCUCGUAGAGAAACAUGCUCUACGACAAGCACAACACACGUUGCAAUUUUAUUACUUUAUCAUAGUAGAUGAGCGGUAACUAGCUAGCUAACCACAUUUAGUUGAUAUAAACCAUGCCAGAUACCAUAGGGAAAGUGGCAGAUCUAGGGGGCUACACAGCUCAGGGAGCCCACUCUUAAGCCUCUCCUACAAAUUUUGACCAUGGAUAGAGGAGGAGAAGAAGAUGCGGCACAAAUAUAUCACUACAGCAGCUAUGAUCGUCCCUCGUAGGGAAACGUGUUCUACGACAAGCACAAUGCACGUUGCAAUUUUAUUAUUUUACUAUUAUUUUUACUCUAAGCCUCCCCUACAAAUUUUCAUCAUGGAUAAAGGAGAAGAAGAAAAGAGAGAAGGGGAAGAAGAGAAAGAGGAAGGAGAAAUGGAGGAGGAUUGGGUGAACGAGCCCCCUGGGCCCUGGCCCUAAGCUAGCAGACUGCGUCCGCUGGAGUUUUCACGGUGCGUUCGUCUUCUCUUAGUUCGUUGAGCCUGACUGGAAUUUCGGGCCGUUUUCUAUCGGUACCGCCCAUUUUCAGCUGUGCUUUCCAUUCUAAAAUUAAGGAGCUACGUACCACCAGCUGAAGAGCUAGCUAUCUUGUAAAUGUGAUGAGAUCGAUCGACGAGAUCACUGAUGACUAUACAUACGUAUGGAUCUUUAGGUGAGCCGGCCCUUAGAAAUCAAAAUCUACCUAGCAACGGUCCACGUAACUGAACAGUCUUGACAUUGCAUCAAUUUUCAGAACCAAGACUAAAAUUGCUCAUUCAAGAUAUGUUACUUACGCUGACCUGCCCUAGAAAUCGGUGCAUUUUCAGGACCGAUCACCGACCGUCACUACGUUUGGAUUGAUUUAUGCUGCCACAUGGAAUUUAACGUGCUAGCAGACGGGAUUGCCACGUGCCAGCACAAAGGUUCCCUGGAAAUACAUAAUUAGUAUAGUAGCUAGCUAAUAAUCUAGAAACAAUUUUUUUGGCACAUAAUUUUAGAAGCAGUUAAGAAAAAUAUAAAGAUUUAGAGCCCACACUGUGAUUGAUUUUUUUGAAAGAUGGUUUUAUUGAGCCAAUAAAGAAAGCUAUUGUAAUUAAGUACUUGUUUUGCUCCUUUUUUUCUAUUUAUGUACACCUGAAAAAAAAGAAAAUAA
This 32412-nucleotide long non-coding RNA is filed under the name Setaria viridis. RNAcentral describes it as "long non-coding RNA (SVIR_LNC003807)". The record is from RNAcentral. Lineage: Eukaryota; Viridiplantae; Streptophyta; Magnoliopsida; Poales; Poaceae.